RNAcentral lists this ribosomal RNA (308 nucleotides) under uncultured bacterium. Its description in RNAcentral is "partial 16S ribosomal RNA". It matches the Rfam family "Bacterial small subunit ribosomal RNA", at positions 505 to 808 of the family's 1533-position model. The record is from RNAcentral.
GAGACAGCAGUAGCCCGGGAAUACGUAGGUGGCAAGCGUUGUCCGGAAUUAUUGGGCGUAAAGGGCUCGCAGGCGGUUUCUUAAGUCUGAUGUGAAAGCCCCCGGCUCAACCGGGGAGGGUCAUUGGAAACUGGGAAACUUGAGUGCAGAAGAGGAGAGUGGAAUUCCACGUGUAGCGGUGAAAUGCGUAGAGAUGUGGAGGAACACCAGUGGCGAAGGCGACUCUCUGGUCUGUAACUGACGCUGAGGAGCAAAAGCGUGGGGAGCGAACAGGAUUAGAUACCCGCGUAGUCCCUGUCUCUUAUACA